RNAcentral lists this transfer RNA (68 nucleotides) under Trigonopterus sp. 7 AH-2016. Its description in RNAcentral is "tRNA-Ser". Lineage: Eukaryota; Metazoa; Arthropoda; Insecta; Coleoptera; Curculionidae. The record is from RNAcentral.
AGUUAAUGAGCUUGUAAAGCCUAUACCUUGAAAGUAUACAAAAGAAACAAUAUUAUUUCUAUUAACUU